RNAcentral lists this ribosomal RNA (518 nucleotides) under uncultured Bacteroidota bacterium. RNAcentral's name for it is "bacterial SSU rRNA". It matches the Rfam family "Bacterial small subunit ribosomal RNA", at positions 74 to 586 of the family's 1533-position model. The record is from RNAcentral. Lineage: Bacteria; Pseudomonadati; Bacteroidota.
GAUAGUUUACUAUUUUGGUGGCGACCGGCGCACGGGUGAGUAACGCGUAUGUAACCUACCUUAUACAGGAGUAUAGCCCGAAGAAAUUCGGAUUAAUCCUCCAUAGUAUUUUCUAAUGGCAUCAUUUGGAAAAUUAAAGCUUCGGCGGUAUAAGAUGGGCAUGCGUCCUAUUAGCUAGAUGGUAAGGUAAUGGCUUACCAUGGCUACGAUAGGUAGGGGGCCUGAGAGGGUGAUCCCCCACACUGGUACUGAGACACGGACCAGACUCCUACGGGAGGCAGCAGUGAGGAAUAUUGGUCAAUGGGCGCAAGCCUGAACCAGCCAUGCCGCGUGCAGGAAGAAUGCCCUAUGGGUUGUAAACUGCUUUUAUUUAGGAAUAAACCCCUCUACGUGUAGAGGGCUGAAUGUACUAAACGAAUAAGCACCGGCUAACUCCGUGCCAGCAGCCGCGGUAAUACGGAGGGUGCAAGCGUUAUCCGGAAUCAUUGGGUUUAAAGGGUCCGCAGGCGGACGUAUAA